AUUGAACGCUGGCGGCAUGCCUUACACAUGCAAGUCGAACGGCAGCACGGGUGCUUGCACCUGGUGGCGAGUGGCGAACGGGUGAGUAAUACAUCGGAACAUGUCCUGUAGUGGGGGAUAGCCCGGCGAAAGCCGGAGUAAUACCGCAUACGAACUACGGAUGACAGCGGGGGACCUUCGGACCUCGCGCUAUAGGGUUGGCCGAUGGCUGAUUAGCUAGUUGGUGGGGUAAAGGCCUACCAAGGCGACGAUCAGGAGCUGGUCUGAGAGGACGACCGGCCACACUGGGACUGAGACACGGCCCAGACUCCUACGGGAGGCAGCAGUGGGGAAUUUUGGGCAAUGGGCGAAAGCCUGAUCCAGCAAUGCCGCGUGUGUGAAGAAGGCCUUCGGGUUGUAAAGCACUUUUGUCCGGAAAGAAAUCCUUGGCCCUAAUACGGUCGGGGGAUGACGGUACCGGAAGAAUAAGCACCGGCUAACUACGUG
RNAcentral lists this ribosomal RNA (486 nucleotides) under uncultured bacterium. Its description in RNAcentral is "partial 16S ribosomal RNA". It matches the Rfam family "Bacterial small subunit ribosomal RNA", at positions 29 to 507 of the family's 1533-position model. The record is from RNAcentral.